UACGUAGGGGGCAAGCGUUGUCCGGAUUUAUUGGGCGUAAAGAGCUCGUAGGCGGUUCAGCAAGUCGGGUGUGAAAAAUCUGGGCUCAACCCAGUGGAGCACCCGAUACUGCUGUGACUAGAGUCCGGUAGGGGAGUGUGGAAUUCCUGGUGUAGCGGUGAAAUUCGUAGAUAUCGGGAGGAACACCGGUGGCGAAGGCGGCGACCUGGGUGGAUACUGACGCUGAGGCGCGAAAGCGUGGGGAGCGAACAGG
RNAcentral lists this ribosomal RNA (253 nucleotides) under uncultured bacterium. Its description in RNAcentral is "partial 16S ribosomal RNA". It matches the Rfam family "Bacterial small subunit ribosomal RNA", at positions 524 to 776 of the family's 1533-position model. The record is from RNAcentral.